Long non-coding RNA from Hibiscus syriacus, 592 nucleotides. RefSeq lists it as uncharacterized. The transcript has 6 exons. Lineage: Eukaryota; Viridiplantae; Streptophyta; Magnoliopsida; Malvales; Malvaceae. The record is from RefSeq and is a predicted model, not a curated record.
AGCAAAGAGAAAGAGCUGUUAGUUUAUGGUGCUUGGUAAAUGCUGAAUGUUUGCUAGUAUGGACUUAAAUGCUUCCCCCAUUACCUGAAGAUGACGAAGAGACAUAUGAAAGACAUAAAGAACAUUACUACGCACCAGAAGAACAUGUAGAAUCUGCAGUUGAAAUUUUAAGAAGGGAACGUGAGGAAAGACGGAAGAAGUUGAAAAAAGACCAACCAGAAUACCAGCCAGUACAUGUCUCUCAGCCUCAAAUACUUGAUCACUUUUAUCAGAAUAGGAAUCCAAAGUUUUAUGAUAAAAGUAGGAUCCCUUCUGGUUAGUUUGGUUUUCCUUCGGUUGAUCAGGAAAUAGGCUGCAUCAUUCCUUCUAAAACUCCACUUGGUGAAUCUUAUAAUGACUGUGUUCUGCCUGGUAAAAGAUACUUUUAAACAAGUGAUUCAUCAGCAAAGAGUUUUAGGAAGAAAGCUUGGUUGGGUCAUUGAUUUGACGAACACAUCUCGUUACUAUCAAACUACAGACCUGAAGAAAGAAGGCAUUAAGCAUGUAAAAGUGUCACAAUUCCUACUACGUCAGAAAUCAAAGAAAUAUAUUC